GUUCAAACAAAUCAUUAGUUAAAAUGCUUACAAAUGUCAUUAAACUUUUUUUCCCGGCUUCGCUACCGUUCGGACAUUCUUGCUUACUGCUCUGCGCUUUGCUCACUAUUUCUGUACUUUUCUCAGAUUUUUCUAAGAUUUUUACUCCAGCAGAUCAGCACAGUGCUCAGACAACACAUCUUUGGACCGGAAUAAUUCUACAAAAAAAGGGGACAAAAACCUUAUCUCCAAAUGACUACAGCCCCAUUGACUCCCUCUGCCAAUGCAUUGAUGAAAUAAACAGUUGGAUGAGCCAAAAUUUUCUUCAGUUAAACAAGGAUAAAACUGAAGUCAUUGCAUUUGGAAACAAAGAUGAAGUUCUCAAGGUGAAUGCUUACCUUGACUCUAGGGGUCUAACAACUAAAAAUCAAGUCAGGAAUCUUGGUGUGAUUCUGGAGACAGACCUUAGUUUCAGUAGUCAUGUCAAAGCAGUAACUAAAUCAGCAUACUAUCAUCUAAAAAACAUUGCAAGAAUUAGAUGUUUUGUUUCCAGUCAAGACUUGGAGAAACUUGUUCAUGCCUUUAUCACCAGCAGGGUGGACUAUUGUAAUGGUCUCCUCACUGGCUGUCACAAAUCAAGCCUCUGUGGCUCCCUCCGAUCAACACCAGAGGGAACCGUCACCGGUGUACUAACUGUUCUUAAGGACUUCAUUUCCCAUCACCCCAUGCCUGAGACUGAUUACCUGCACAGGUGCUUAUCAUUAUCUUGACUAUUUAAGCAGUGCCUACCUUACCCUCAUUGCGAAGUCUUGUUUUUGCUAUUGCUGACAUUUCUGAGCGGUUAUACCUUGUUUGAUUACCUGUUGCCUACCUGGAUUGUCUAGACCCAUCUGACUGUUCGCCCGCAGCUGGAAUCAGCUUCCAGAAGAGAUCAGAUGUGUUAAAACAUUAGUCACAUUUAAAUGCAGACUCAAAACUCAUCUGUUUAGCUGUGCAUUUAUUGAAUGAGCACUGUGCGACGUCCCAAC
Molecule: long non-coding RNA, 1007 nt
Filed under: Sinocyclocheilus grahami
Lineage: Eukaryota; Metazoa; Chordata; Actinopteri; Cypriniformes; Cyprinidae
Description: lncRNA (ENSSGRG00000019108.1)
Source: RNAcentral